RNAcentral lists this non-coding RNA (96 nucleotides) under human gut metagenome. The record is from RNAcentral.
CGCUAGGGGAGCUUAUGGCUGAGAUUGGGACUGUUUGACAGUUAUCCUGACCCUCAUUACUUGAACCGGUUAAUGCCGGCGUAAGGAAGCAUCAAA